ACGAACGCUGGCGGCGUGCUUAACACAUGCAAGUCGAACGAUGAAGAAGAGAAACGCGAACUUCGGUUCAAAUUUCACUUCGGAUUAGUGGCAGACGGGUGAGUAACGCGUGAGCAACCUACCUCUUACAAAGGGAUAGCCUCGGGAAACCGUGAUUAAUACCAUAUGACACAUUCAUAAGGCAUCUUAAGAAUGUUAAAGCUACGGCGGUAAGAGAUGGGCUCGCGUCCCAUUAGCUAGUUGGUGAGGUAACGGCCCACCAAGGCGACGAUGGGUAACCGGCCUGAGAGGGUGAACGGUCACAUUGGAACUGAGACACGGUCCAAACUCCUACGGGAGGCAGCAGUGGGGAAUAUUGCACAAUGGAGGGAACUCUGAUGCAGCGACGCCGCGUGAGCGAUGAAGGAAUUCGUUUCGUAAAGCUCUGUUCUAUGGGAAGAAAAGAACUGUACCAGAGGAGAAAGCCCCGGCUAAAUACGUG
Molecule: ribosomal RNA, 481 nt
Filed under: uncultured bacterium
Lineage: Bacteria
Description: partial 16S ribosomal RNA
Rfam family: Bacterial small subunit ribosomal RNA
Source: RNAcentral